RNAcentral lists this ribosomal RNA (484 nucleotides) under uncultured bacterium. Its description in RNAcentral is "partial 16S ribosomal RNA". It matches the Rfam family "Bacterial small subunit ribosomal RNA", at positions 29 to 507 of the family's 1533-position model. The record is from RNAcentral.
AUUGAACGCUGGCGGCAUGCUUUACGCAUGCAAGUCGAACGGCAGCGCGGGCUUCGGCCUGGCGGCGAGUGGCGAACGGGUGAGUAAUACAUCGGAACGUGCCCAGUAGUGGGGGAUAGCUCGGCGAAAGCCGGAUUAAUACCGCAUACGACCUGAGGGUGAAAGCGGGGGAUCUUCGGACCUCGCGCUAUUGGAGCGGCCGAUGGCAGAUUAGCUAGUUGGUGGGGUAAAGGCCUACCAAGGCGACGAUCUGUAGCUGGUCUGAGAGGACGACCAGCCACACUGGGGCUGAGACACGGCCCAGACUCCUACGGGAGGCAGCAGUGGGGAAUUUUGGACAAUGGGCGAAAGCCUGAUCCAGCAAUGCCGCGUGUGUGAUGAAGGCCUUCGGGUUGUAAAGCACUUUUGGCGGGAACGAAAAGGACUGUGCCAAUACCACGGUUCGAUGACGGUACCCGCAGAAUAAGCACCGGCUAACUACGUG